GUCAUAUGCUUGUCUCAAAGAUUAAGCCAUGCAUGUCUCAGUACAAGCCAAAUUAAGGUGAAACCGCGAAAGGCUCAUUAAAUCAGUUAUGGUUCCUUAGAUCGUACCCACAAUUACUUGGAUAACUGUGGUAAUUCUAGAGCUAAUACAUGCAAACAGAGCUCCGACCGGAGACGGAAGGAGUGCUUUUAUUAGAUCAAAACCAAUCGGUGGCGAGUUCGCUCGUUAUCGUACAACUUGGUGACUCUGAAUAACUUUACGCUGAUCGCACGGUCAUCGCACCGGCGACGCAUCUUUCAAAUGUCUGCCUUAUCAACUGUCGAUGGUAGGUUCUGCGCCUACCAUGGUUGUAACGGGUAACGGGGAAUCAGGGUUCGAUUCCGGAGAGGGAGCCUGAGAAACGGCUACCACAUCCAAGGAAGGCAGCAGGCGCGCAAAUUACCCACUCCCGGCACGGGGAGGUAGUGACGAAAAAUAACGAUACGGGACUCAUCCGAGGCCCCGUAAUCGGAAUGAGUACACUCUAAACCCUUUAACGAGGAUCAAUUGGAGGGCAAGUCUGGUGCCAGCAGCCGCGGUAAUUCCAGCUCCAAUAGCGUAUAUUAAAGUUGUUGCGGUUAAAAAGCUCGUAGUCGAAUUUGUGUCUCGCGCCGCCGGUUCAUCGUCCGCGGUGUUAACUGGCGAGUCGCGAGACGUCCUGCCGGUGGGCUUAGCUCGCGAGGGCGGCGGCCCAACUCAAUCCUGCCGCGGUGCUCUUCAUUGAGUGUCGAGGUGGGCCGGCACGUUUACUUUGAACAAAUUAGAGUGCUUAAAGCAGGCUAAAACUUCGCCUGAAUACUGUGUGCAUGGAAUAAUGGAAUAGGACCUCGGUUCUAUUUUGUUGGUUUUCGGAACCCCGAGGUAAUGAUUAAUAGGAACGGAUGGGGGCAUUCGUAUUGCGACGUUAGAGGUGAAAUUCUUGGAUCGUCGC
Molecule: ribosomal RNA, 970 nt
Filed under: Trigonopterus sp. 772 AR-2022a
Lineage: Eukaryota; Metazoa; Arthropoda; Insecta; Coleoptera; Curculionidae
Description: SSU rRNA
Rfam family: Eukaryotic small subunit ribosomal RNA
Source: RNAcentral